AUUGAACGCUGGCGGCAUGCCUUACACAUGCAAGUCGAACGGCAGCGGGCCUUCGGGUGCCGGCGAGUGGCGAACGGGUGAGUAAUGCAUCGGAACGUGCCAUUGAGUGGGGGAUAACGUAGCGAAAGUUGCGCUAAUACCGCAUAUUCUGUGAGCAGGAAAGCAGGGGACCGCAAGGCCUUGCGCUCUUUGAGCGGCCGAUGUCAGAUUAGCUAGUUGGUGAGGUAAAGGCUUACCAAGGCGACGAUCUGUAGCGGGUCUGAGAGGAUGAUCCGCCACACUGGAACUGAGACACGGUCCAGACCCCUACGGGAGGCAGCAGUGGGGAAUUUUGGACAAUGGGGGCAACCCUGAUCCAGCCAUGCCGCGUGAGUGAAGAAGG
Molecule: ribosomal RNA, 382 nt
Filed under: uncultured bacterium
Lineage: Bacteria
Description: bacterial SSU rRNA
Rfam family: Bacterial small subunit ribosomal RNA
Source: RNAcentral